This 854-nucleotide unclassified non-coding RNA is filed under the name Hevea brasiliensis (rubber tree). The record is from RNAcentral. Lineage: Eukaryota; Viridiplantae; Streptophyta; Magnoliopsida; Malpighiales; Euphorbiaceae.
CUUGCUAUACACAAAUUUUUAACUAGCCUACAGUUUAGACAAUCAAUCAACAAUGCCCUAUUUUUUGUGAGCGAUUGAUACUUAAACAAUGACGAGGGGUAUAAGAAAAAUAAAAUGAAGUGUGCUCCCCUAUAUAUAGUAGCUGCAAACAAUUUUGGUCAAGCAUUUGGAGACCAAUCAAAACUAGAAUAAACAACAUUAACAGGUCCACAAUCACCCAUAAGAUGUGUCAAAAGACCUGCUUUAGUUGCAUCUAAGUAACCCGUAAUCCACUUCAAUAUUUCCUUUUCCUGUCCAAAAUCAGUAUUGUACCACUUGAUCAUUCGAUUGAGGUAGACAGUUCUCUUGGACAAAUCAACUUGCAUUGCAUCAUCCCUCUGGAAAUACUCUCUUGCAGCAUAUCUUAGUUCAGACUCGACAUUUUGAGGUGUGAAAAAUCUUACUGCUGGACUUGAUCUUGUUGCAUUGCACAGUCCAAAAUGGAUUAACGGAUUAACUUUCUGAAAUGCCAUCUCCAGACGCCUGUCUCCGCUAGGGAAGGGUCUCAUCAGAGUAAAAGGAGCUCUUCGGUUGCUUCUAAGUAUGCCAUCUUUAAGCCCUGAUAGGGAAUAGGAAUAACCACCAACCAUGUACUGGAACUCGGAGAAAAACGCUCUCCUAUCGAUCAUGCCCCCAGGAUGACCAAUCCUGAUCACGGCAUGAAUGGCCAUAGCAUUAUACAAAUUCAGAAAGAAGGCUAGCUUCUCGUCUGCUGAAAGAUUUAGGAGGUUCACCCUGUGGAGAUCCUGAAUCAGAUUUGUAUAUCUCCGAAAUUCUUCGCUAUUGCUGAUGCCUAUAUAAUCAAUAUGAUGCCG